This 490-nucleotide ribosomal RNA is filed under the name uncultured bacterium. Its description in RNAcentral is "partial 16S ribosomal RNA". It matches the Rfam family "Bacterial small subunit ribosomal RNA", at positions 30 to 507 of the family's 1533-position model. The record is from RNAcentral.
AUUGAACGCUGGCGGCAGGCCUAACACAUGCCAGUCGAACGGUAACAGGAAGCAGCUUGCUGCUUUGCUGACGAGUGGCGGACGGGUGAGUAAUGUCUGUGAAACUGCCCGAUGGAGGGGGAUAACUACUGGAAACGGUAGCUAAUACCGCAUAACGUCGCAAGACCAAAGAGGGGGACCUUAGGGCCUCUUUCCAUCGGAUGUGCCCAGAUGGGAUUAGCUAGUAGGUGGGGUAACGGCUCACCUAGGCGACGAUCCCUAGCUGGUCUGAGAGGAUGACCAGCCACACUGGAACUGAGACACGGUCCAGACUCCUACGGGAGGCAGCAGUGGGGAAUAUUGCACAAUGGGCGAAAGCCUGAUGCAGCCAUGCCGCGUGUAUGAAGAAGGCCUUCGGGUUGUAAAGUACUUUCAGCGGGGAGGAAGGGAGUAAAGUUAAUACCUUUGCUCAUUGACGUUACCCGCAGAAGAAGCACCGGCUAACUACGUG